CCUACGGGUGGCAGCAGUGGGGAAUAUUGCACAAUGGGGGAAACCCUGAUGCAGCGACGCCGCGUGAGUGAAGAAGUAAUUCGUUAUGUAAAGCUCUAUCAGCAGGGAAGAAAAUGACGGUACCUGAGUAAGAAGCCCCGGCUAACUACGUGCCAGCAGCCGCGGUAAUACGUAUGGGGCAAGCGUUAUCCGGAUUUACUGGGUGGAAAGGGAGCGUAGACGGCAGUGCAAGUCUGGAGUGAAAGGCGGAGGCUCAACCCCCGGACUGCUCUGGAAACUGUACGGCUGGAGUGCAGGAGAGGUAAGUGGAAUUCCUAGUGGAGCGGUGAAAUGCGUAGAUAUUAGGAGGAACACCAGUGGCGAAGGCGGCUUACUGGACUGUAACUGACGUUGAGGCUCGAAAGCGUGGGGAGCAAACAGGAUUAGAUACCCCAGUAGUC
Molecule: ribosomal RNA, 440 nt
Filed under: uncultured bacterium
Lineage: Bacteria
Description: partial 16S ribosomal RNA
Rfam family: Bacterial small subunit ribosomal RNA
Source: RNAcentral